RNAcentral lists this ribosomal RNA (447 nucleotides) under uncultured bacterium. Its description in RNAcentral is "bacterial SSU rRNA". It matches the Rfam family "Bacterial small subunit ribosomal RNA", at positions 355 to 825 of the family's 1533-position model. The record is from RNAcentral.
UCGGGAAUUUUGGGCAAUGGGCGAAAGCCUGACCCAGCAACGCCGCGUGAAGGAUGAAGUAUUUCGGUAUGUAAACUUCGAAAGAAUAGGAAGAAUAAAUGACGGUACUAUUUAUAAGCUCCGGCUAACUACGUGCCAGCAGCCGCGGUAAUACGUAGGGAGCAAGCGUUGUUCGGAUUUACUGGGCGUAAAGGGCGCGUAGGCGGCGCGGUAAGUCACUUGUGAAAUCUCUGAGCUUAACUCAGAACGGCCAAGUGAUACUGCAGUGCUAGAGUGCAGAAGGGGCAAUCGGAAUUCUUGGUGUAGCGGUGAAAUGCGUAGAUAUCAAGAGGAACACCUGAGGUGAAGACGGGUUGCUGGGCUGACACUGACGCUGAGGCACGAAAGCUAGGGGAGCAAACGGGAUUAGAUACCCAAGUAGUCCCUGAGCGGGCUGGCAAGGCGCAU